Molecule: long non-coding RNA, 2135 nt
Filed under: Salmo salar (Atlantic salmon)
Lineage: Eukaryota; Metazoa; Chordata; Actinopteri; Salmoniformes; Salmonidae
Description: lncRNA (ENSSSAG00000111684.1)
Source: RNAcentral
CUGGGUCUCACCUUGUGCCCUUAUAGGGCCAACUUCUUGGAAUGAAAUAUAUUUGUGCCCCCUCAGAUAUUUGGGGUGCAUGAGGCGACUGAACCUUUGUAUAGCUAACACAAGCUCUGUCAAGAAGAAGUGAAGACUACUUUUUGACAAGGGAAUUUUCACUGUGUAUGGUUAUGUAUUUGGCUCUGGUACGAGACUUUUUGUGACAGACAAUAACGUACGAAAACCCAAAGUGACGGUCUACUCAGAGUCCAACCCUGAGUCGAAUGUGAACACCCUGCUAUGUCUGGCUGGAGACAUGUUUCCAGACUUGGUCAAGAUCUCAUGGAAGAUGGAGGAUGAAAACGGCAGAGCAGUCGAGGUGCCUAAAGCAGAGGGGGAACAACUGGAGCAGAGGGAGGAAGGACAGACGACCAGUAUGAUCAUCACUGAUAAAGAGAAGAUUUACAGGAACAAAUACAUCUGUUCUGUGGAGCAUGAAGGGGGCCCUCAAGAUGUUUACAUGCUAAAAGAUCAACCAACUGAAGCUCCGCCAACCACCGUGGCUGCACCAACCUGUUCGUUCAGAAAUGACACACAGCAGUCACAGUCUCUACAUCUUACCGAUGAUUCCUUCCAGUCAACGUUUAGUCUGAACCUGGCCUCUAUCCUUUACACAGUGAUGAUAGUGAAGAGCAUGGUGUACUGCUGUGGGCUCUCUAUCCUGCUGCACCACAGGAGCUUGGGAAGAGGACCCAGCACCUGUAGACACAUUUAUUGAAAGGAUACCCCCCCCCCAUUUAUGGAUAGAGUUGUAGUGGGCUGGGAGUAACAUGGAUUUUACAUGCCAUUGAGGUCUAACAUUUCAUUUGUAUUGCUUUUAUUUUUCCUGCUUUAUUUUUUAGAUGCUACAAUAUUGUGAGCCAUAGAUUUCCAUGUCUUCUAAUAGCUUCAACUGCCAAAUAUGACAAUUGCAGCACAUUUAAUUGUGUAUAUGGAGUAUUGUUUCCCUCCUUAUGUGGGAGCUACCCACUGCAGACACAUGAAUAAAGAUUAAGUUAAGGUUUUCUGAAAAAUAAGCAGAGCAAAUCUUGAAUGUAAAUACAUUAUGAUUUUAAUUUAGACUUGUUUUGUUAGUUGCCCUGCAAUAUGUCAUAGAGGUAGGCCUAAAUUAUACUCACAACCUGUAUUUAAUUUAUACAAAAUAUGUCAUUAUUAAAUAUGUAGGCCCAUGAGUUCUAAAUCAUUAUCCAAUAUAAUAUUUAGUAACUUGUCUUGAAGUGUAAUUUUUCUCAAGAAAUUACUUUGUUUCACAUCUCAAUAAAUGAAUAAGAGAAUCAAUUUUUGCUUUAAAUUCUAAAUGCUGAGUGCUUAUUGAGCAUAAAAAUUGGGCUAUGCGCAAAAUAAUUUAUUGGUGCUUUUGUACAUUAAUACAAUGUUUUUUUAUACAGCUUUUAUGAAGAGUAACACAGCCUGCUCAAAUGAACCAAGUUGCUCAAAAUAAUAAUAUCCUUUCAGAUGAGGAUGGAUUUAAUAAACGCAGCCUUUGUGAACGAAAAGUUACAACAAUGGUUCUGCAAAUGAUUGUAAAUAACUUUUUUACAGUUCCUUGCUAACCCCCCCCCCAAAAAAAACAUUGCAUUUCUUUACUAUAAGAUCAUCUAUUCAUAUUUGUGAAUGUUAUUUGAUUAAAUCUCAUCAGCAGCAGAACAAUAAAAUUGUAAGAUCCCCCAUUCUCUGUUUUCAACUUGUUUGCUUCAAUGUGCAUGUUCCAACACAGAUGUUGAGCCUAGACUCAAUAGUGGUGGGAAAAUGUGGUUAAUUUAUAUUUGGUUUUCUAAAGAAAUGUGAAACGGUACUUACUGGAAACAAGAUAUAGCUAGCUGCAUAACCACAGCUCGAGCGUGUGAUGAGUUGGUUAUCCAAAGCUGCUGGAUGAUUAGUUUUUAUCUUGAACCGUUUUCUGCUCUAUUUGUGGGUUCGGCUCCUGCCAUCAAAUUGAAGAAUAUGACAGCGAUGGCAGACAAAACGAGUCCAUAAUGGUAGCUUAUGGUUCUUUCAUUUGUAGAAUUAUAGCCCUAUGACAAAACAAGCUCUUACUUCUGUUUGUGUACUUUUUACCUUGAAACAAUCAAAUUAAAUGAAAUCAGAGUUGA